CAGUCCUAGGCUGGUCAGCGCCAGGCCGUAUUCCCUAAUUAAAUGCAGACUCCUCCUAGGAAAAACAGCAUAUUGAUGAUAGUACUUGUGAUCUUCCUGCACUGCUAGGCAGUCGCUGUGGAUUAAUAAAAUGGUUAAUGACAGUCUUUCUUUUCUUCCCUGGAUUAUAUUGCAAGGGAUUAUGCUAUUUGUGGCCCAAUAGCCCCCUCACUUCCACCUGACCAGAUCUCCAAGAGCACAGAAAGAAAAUAUAGACCCUUUCGGAGCUCGAUGUGGAGCCUGCCGAGGCCGUAGAAUUGCCCAGUGAUGUUGAACAUUCUAUACCUCAGCCACCCCCCAAGACCAAGAGGAGGUUGGGGAACACUACUUCUACGGCACAGAAGUCCAGCGCUGCUGUGGCGGCUUCACGGUGCUGCAAAUGCGGACAUACAUCCAGGAAGAAAAUAGGGAUAUCUCAGUCAUAAAUGGAUGGCAUCCAUUGUGAGAUUUGUGGCAUUAUAGGGAGUUUGUGGAACAUUU
Molecule: long non-coding RNA, 519 nt
Organism: Pseudophryne corroboree (corroboree frog)
Lineage: Eukaryota; Metazoa; Chordata; Amphibia; Anura; Myobatrachidae
Exons: 3
Source: RefSeq, a predicted model, not a curated record